Long non-coding RNA from Brassica oleracea var. oleracea, 1250 nucleotides. RefSeq lists it as uncharacterized. NCBI's taxonomy places the organism in Eukaryota, Viridiplantae, Streptophyta, Magnoliopsida, Brassicales, Brassicaceae. The record is from RefSeq and is a predicted model, not a curated record. The transcript has 6 exons.
AAAAAAAAUCAGUUUAGUCAAGCGAAAACAAAAACGACAAGUAACUUUACCUUCUCCCCUUCUCUUAACGACUGCAUCUAGAUGAAGAAAUAAGAACAAUCGAUCGGAGGCUGAUACAAAUGGAACACAUAUCAGACGGAACUACAAUGAUCCCGAUCCAACGGAAAAAGGGUAUCAAAGUACGAACGGUUUGACAGAAGCAUCUAAAGAAAACAAAAAUGAAGCUGAAGCGGCGGUGGGAGAUAAUAUUGGUAAGUGUUGCUGGGAAUCCAUUGAUCCGUAGAAGCAGCCCGCCUGAGAUUUGUUCUGGAUAUCACCUGUCCAAGCCCUCUUUACGUUUCUUUGAGCUUCUCAUCGGGAAUAACAGGAUACAUCGUUGUUAGUGUCAACAGACAGCAAAUUAAAUUGAAAACAUGUACUUACUUGAUGUCUUCAAGAGUAAACUCAGGUUUCAUCCUUGGUUUGCAUGAACAAUGAACUGUUUUUAUCCCUCCCAAAUUAAUAACCUCGCCCAUUAAGUCUGUAAAAAAAACAGAGUGGUCGAAAAUGUUUUUUUUUUUCAAAUCAAUAUCGCAGGUAAUAAUUUGAAAACGUACCAGUGAGGAAACAUGGUUUAAGUGAUCCAUGUAAAACACUUUGAAAAUCUACCAAACUUAGAAACAGGGCUGAGGGUGAAAAUCUGAUUUUCAAAGAGGUUUCACCUACUCAUAACUAAAUCAGUUUUUCUUGGAAUAGUAGUGAUGUUUCCUACGAUAGACUAAACCAAGGCAUGCUGGCGAGAAUGACGUUAUAUAGAUGGGAUUAUAAGAGUUAAUUUUGGUCCAUCCGGAUGAGGUACAAUUUAAUUAAGGUUAAGUGCCGAGAAUUUAUUUAGGUGGUUUAGGAAUCUUAUGAAACGACAGUUUAUUAAGCCAGUGGCGUAAGUAUGUAAUUUUUGAGGAAAACUCAGGGUUAUUUUAUUUUUGUACUCAUGUUUUAAUAGAUUAGAUGGCUACGGAAUCGGGUUUCAAGGGACCUAAAAAAUCACUCCACCCUUGAAGGAAGUAGAAACAUCCAUUAACGCUGGAUUAGCCAUCAUUGUAGCGUUUUCUUUCCUCAGUCUUGCACCUUGAAAUGGAAUGUAAUUGCCUCUAGUGAUGCUGGUUCCUUUUAUAGUUGGUUGGCAAGAUAAAAGCCUUUAGAAAUUUUUGUUUAAAACAUUUUAGGUGAAAACUUUAACAUUUGUCUUUUGUAAAUUUAGUUUUAUGAAU